RNAcentral lists this ribosomal RNA (815 nucleotides) under Salmonella enterica. Its description in RNAcentral is "partial 23S ribosomal RNA". It matches the Rfam family "Bacterial large subunit ribosomal RNA", at positions 711 to 1438 of the family's 2925-position model. RNAcentral also lists the same sequence under 1 other name. The record is from RNAcentral. Lineage: Bacteria; Pseudomonadati; Pseudomonadota; Gammaproteobacteria; Enterobacterales; Enterobacteriaceae.
AGACCCGAAACCCGGUGAUCUAGCCAUGGGCAGGUUGAAGGUUGGGUAACACUAACUGGAGGACCGAACCGACUAAUGUUGAAAAAUUAGCGGAUGACCUGUGGCUGGGGGUGAAAGGCCAAUCAAACCGGGAGAUAGCUGGUUCUCCCCGAAAGCUAUUUAGGUAGCGCCUCGUGAAUUCAUCUCCGGGGGUAGAGCACUGUUUCGGCUAGGGGGCCAUCCCGGCUUACCAACCCGAUGCAAACUGCGAAUACCGGAGAAUGUUAUCACGGGAGACACACGGCGGGUGCUAACGUCCGUCGUGAAGAGGGAAACAACCCAGACCGCCAGCUAAGGUCCCAAAGUCAUGGUUAAGUGGGAAACGAUGUGGGAAGGCCCAGACAGCCAGGAUGUUGGCUUAGAAGCAGCCAUCAUUUAAAGAAAGCGUAAUAGCUCACUGGUCGAGUCGGCCUGCGCGGAAGAUGUAACGGGGCUAAACCAUGCACCGAAGCUGCGGCAGCGAACGUAUCACCCAAGACAACUUUACGGAGUUGACGAUUGACGGAGCGAAGCGACGUCAAAGCGUUCAUUAAAGUCGAGUUGGCUUAGGGAUACGUUCGUUGGGUAGGGGAGCGUUCUGUAAGCCUGUGAAGGUGUGUCGUGAGGCAUGCUGGAGGUAUCAGAAGUGCGAAUGCUGACAUAAGUAACGAUAAAGCGGGUGAAAAGCCCGCUCGCCGGAAGACCAAGGGUUCCUGUCCAACGUUAAUCGGGGCAGGGUGAGUCGACCCCUAAGGCGAGGCCGAAAGGCGUAGUCGAUGGGAAACGGGUUAAUAUUC